AAAUUGAAGAGUUUGAUCAUGGCUCAGAUUGAACGCUGGCGGCAGGCCUAACACAUGCAAGUCGAACGGUAACAGGAAGCAGCUUGCUGCUUCGCUGACGAGUGGCGGACGGGUGAGUAAUGUCUGGGAAACUGCCUGAUGGAGGGGGGUAACUACUGGAAACGGUAGCUAAUACCGCAUAAUGUCGCAAGACCAAAGAGGGGGACCUUC
This 210-nucleotide ribosomal RNA is filed under the name Escherichia coli. RNAcentral describes it as "partial 16S ribosomal RNA". It matches the Rfam family "Bacterial small subunit ribosomal RNA", at positions 1 to 218 of the family's 1533-position model. The record is from RNAcentral. Lineage: Bacteria; Pseudomonadati; Pseudomonadota; Gammaproteobacteria; Enterobacterales; Enterobacteriaceae.